Molecule: long non-coding RNA, 246 nt
Filed under: Elaeis guineensis (African oil palm)
Lineage: Eukaryota; Viridiplantae; Streptophyta; Magnoliopsida; Arecales; Arecaceae
Description: long non-coding RNA (EGUI_LNC031805)
Source: RNAcentral
AUGGCCUUCGGCUAGUGCUGAAGUGGGCCACAAAAGAAUGUUCGAACUGCUCGAAGGAGUCGAUGCUUCCGAUUGAAGCCUGAAAUAUCAGGCCCGAGCAGCUUUCCAAAGAGUUAUCGGAAAGCUGAUGCAUAAGAGGGCAUCGGUUGCCCCUGGAUCAUCAUGAGGCUUUAUAGCUCUCCAGGUGGUCGUUUGAAUCGGUGGAGCCGUCAUAUGACUUCACUUGUGGCAUCUUGAAUCGAGAUG